Molecule: ribosomal RNA, 271 nt
Filed under: uncultured prokaryote
Description: partial 16S ribosomal RNA
Rfam family: Bacterial small subunit ribosomal RNA
Source: RNAcentral
UACGGAGGAUCCGAGCGUUAUCCGGAUUUAUUGGGUUUAAAGGGUGCGCAGGCGGGAGAUUAAGUCGGCGGUGAAAUUUUGCAGCUCAACUGUAAAAGUGCCUUCGAAACUGGUUUCCUUGAGUGUAGAUGAAGUAGGCGGAAUUUGUGGUGUAGCGGUGAAAUGCUUAGAGAUUACACAGAACACCGAUUGCGAAGGCAGCUCACAAAGCUAUUUCUGACGCUGAGGCACGAAAGCGUGGGGAGCAAACAGGAUUAGAUACCCUGGUAGU